Molecule: ribosomal RNA, 253 nt
Filed under: uncultured bacterium
Lineage: Bacteria
Description: partial 16S ribosomal RNA
Rfam family: Bacterial small subunit ribosomal RNA
Source: RNAcentral
UACGGAGGGUGCGAGCGCUGUCCGGAAUCACUGGGCGUAAAGGGCGCGUAGGCGGCCUGGCAAGUGGAAGGUGAAAUCCCUCGGCUUAACCGAGGAACUGCCCUCCAAACUGCUUGGCUUGAGUCCGGGAGAGGUGAGUGGAAUUCCCAGUGUAGCGGUGAAAUGCGUAGAUAUUGGGAGGAACACCAGUGGCGAAGGCGGCUCACUGGACCGGAACUGACGCUGAGGCGCGAAAGCGUGGGGAGCAAACGGG